CGGACGGAACACGUACACAACCUUACCGAUAAGUGGGGAAGUAGCCAGAGAAAUUUGGAUUAAUACCCGUAACAUAUAGAGUAGGCAUCUUCUUUAUAUUAUAGCUUCGGCGCUUAUUGAUGGGUGUGCGUCUGAUUAGGUAGUUGGCGGGGUAACGGCCCACCAAGCCUACGAUCAGUAGCUGAUGUGAGAGCAUGAUCAGCCACACGGGCACUGAGACACGGGCCCG
Molecule: ribosomal RNA, 229 nt
Filed under: uncultured bacterium
Lineage: Bacteria
Description: partial 16S ribosomal RNA
Rfam family: Bacterial small subunit ribosomal RNA
Source: RNAcentral